This 443-nucleotide ribosomal RNA is filed under the name uncultured bacterium. RNAcentral's name for it is "partial 16S ribosomal RNA". It matches the Rfam family "Bacterial small subunit ribosomal RNA", at positions 338 to 795 of the family's 1533-position model. The record is from RNAcentral.
CCUACGGGUGGCAGCAGUGGGGAAUAUUGGGCAAUGGGCGCAAGCCUGACCCAGCAACGCCGCGUGAAGGAAGAAGGCUUUCGGGUUGUAAACUUCUUUUAUGAGGGACGAAAGAAAUGACGGUACCUCAUGAAUAAGCCACGGCUAACUACGUGCCAGCAGCCGCGGUAAUACGUAGGUGGCAAGCGUUAUCCGGAUUUACUGGGUGUAAAGGGCGCGUAGGCGGGACUGCAAGUCAGAUGUGAAAAUUAUGGGCUCAACCCAUAACCUGCAUUUGAAACUGUAGGUCUUGAGUGAAGGAGAGGCAAGCGGAAUUCCGAGUGUAGCGGUGAAAUGCGUAGAUAUACGGAGGAACACCAGUGGCGAAGGCGGUCUGCUGGACAGUAACUGACGCUGAGGCGCGAAAGCGUGGGGAGCAAACAGGAUUAGAUACCCUGGUAGUC